This is a long non-coding RNA of Hyposmocoma kahamanoa, 537 nucleotides long. RefSeq lists it as uncharacterized. Lineage: Eukaryota; Metazoa; Arthropoda; Insecta; Lepidoptera; Cosmopterigidae. The record is from RefSeq and is a predicted model, not a curated record. The transcript has 4 exons.
GUAAAUUUGACAAUGCAGACGGUGUCGCACAAGAAGCGGGCAAUUUAAACGUUGUCGGAGAAACGACCGCCGGUAUAAAGUACUGCAGCGAUGCUGUCGCCGACGCCGCUCGCGUUGUCGCCGCAGACGACGCCGCUGCGGCGCUAGGCGCUGCUCCAGCUACUAGAACUUUGGAAUCCUUACCAGUGACGUGUAUUGAUUAUUGGUGAUUGCGGCCCCGGAAUACACGUCUGCCGGUGGAAGAAAUACACGUGUAUAAAUUACAGCAAUUAUGAAACGUAAUUACUACUUUAUUAAUGAGUUACCUAUGGCGCUGUCAAUCGAGGCAGGGCACUUUCAAGCGCUGCCACGUGUUUGAUAAUCACUACCCGUUUCGAAAAAAGCAGUUGUGAUAUGGUAAAUCAACAUUACGGUACCCGUGAUAUAAAUUUUAAAACGCUUCGAAGUUUAUUUUGAUGUAAUGAUUUUUGGGGUCUCCAAUAUAAGGACAAAGAGUGAAUUUUACUGUGUUUCAUUUAUAGUGUCCUAUACUAGCUA